CACAAUAAUGAUUGAUUAAUUAAAGAUAAAAAUAAUCAAUUCCGUUUAUAAUUGCUAAAAAUCAUAUGUGCACGGGAACUUGAAACAAACAAAUAAAAACCAAUCUUGAAUUAAACAAGUUUACUUUCUUUGAUAAAGAUUGCAAAUCAAAAUUAAAAUUCUUGUCCUCGUCCUUAAGAUAGUCCACAAAAUUUGAAGGUUACAAGGAGAAGAUUAAAUAUACAAAACUAAAUAAGAAAAUAAAAAAAAUAAAUACUAAACUUGAAAUUAAGAAUUAUAUUUAAUCUAAUCAUAAGAUUUGGUACCACAACCAAGAAGAAACCACAAACACCGAAAGCAUUCAAAGUAUUUCAAGUAGCAAUUCUUUUUUUGUUUCUUGUUAUUCUUCUUCAAAGCUUUGAGUUCUCGUGCUCUUCUCAUUGAAACCAAGACAUCAUCUUUAUAAAUGCAUUCAUUCAUUUCUUCACAAUCAUCGUUGCCAUAAAAUACGUCAUCUCCCAUAGCUUUAUUAAUGUGAUGAAGUUUUUGCAUCGAAAGGUUUUGCUUAGAAAAGGAAUUUGAAUUCACCCAGAUACCUUUCAUUUUGUGUAACAAAAAACAGUGUACUUUAGGUUAUAAAUAACUUGGUUUUUGUUAUUAUUUUUAUAUUUCGUUUUUGACUAAGAUAUUUU
This 671-nucleotide long non-coding RNA is filed under the name Medicago truncatula (barrel medic). RNAcentral describes it as "long non-coding RNA (MTRU_LNC007634)". The record is from RNAcentral. Lineage: Eukaryota; Viridiplantae; Streptophyta; Magnoliopsida; Fabales; Fabaceae.